CUAUCCCUUGGAUCUGUCCCUUAUCCCCAUGAUCCAUUUUCCCCUCCCCAGGGACCCCACACCCCCUCCUCGCCCUUCUUCCCCACACAUUUUCACCACGGACCCCUCGAGUAACGGUGAGUGGCAGCCCUUGGGGACAGCACGGUGCCCACAGAGCAGCAAUGAUGGGGAUGAGUUUGUCCCCACAGUCCUGCCGGGGACACCGAGUGCUGAGGACGUGCUGUACUCCACCAUCACCAUCAGAGAGCACAGAGGGGGUGUGCCCCCAUGUGGUCACUCAGCCCCCCAAGAGGCUGCUGUCACCUACACAGCACUGCAUGCUGCCUGCAGUGCCACCAACCUCCGGGGGAUGCAGCAUCCCCUAAGUGACAGCUAUGAGAACCUCCCUUGCAAAUAAAUGGCAGUCAUUCAUUGCCCCAAAUGUCUGUUUUUUUACCCUAAAUCUCCUUCCAAUCCUGACGCUCACCCGCUCAGCCCCUUCUGUCCCAUUGCAAAACGGGGCCAUUCCUCUCAUUUCCCCCAAAACCACCCCCAGCACAGCAGGGGAGAAGCGUGGAGGGCAUUGCUUUCACCCCUAAAGUGGCAUUUUGGGGCUAUUUGGGGUGAAAAUGGCAUUUUCCCUCCUAAGUCCCCAUCCGAAGUGACAGCUAUGAGAACCUCCCCUCUGUGUGAAAACGGGGGAUCCAGGUGACACAAAGUGCCGGCCGUGUGCUGUGCUCCACGUGUGGACACGCAGUACACAAAGUGCUCAUAUAGCAAAUCCCAAUUAUACAAUAUCCAAGCAUCUUCUGAAUGCCUGGUUUGUAUCCUAAAUCCCUUUUGCUUUUGCAGCUCGGAAAGCAAAUGGGAUCCUGGGUUCCAUCAGAAGAGGGGUGGCCAGCAGGGACAGGGAGGUGAUUGUCCCUCUCUGCUCUGCUCCUGUGAGGCCCCACGUGCAGCACUCUCCCAGCUCCAUCCAGACAGGGAGCUGUUGGAGGGGGUCCAAAGGAGCCACAGAGAUGAGCAGGGCUGCAGCACCUCCCUGCAAAGACAGGCUGAGGGAGCUGGGCUUGUUCAGCACGGAGAAGAGAAGCUGCGGGGUGAAUCAUUGCAGCCUGCAGUACUAAAGGGAGCCCAAAAACAGGAGGGGAGUCAGCUCUUGGGAAGGGGAGAUGAGAGCAGGACGAGGGGAAAUGGCUGGAAUUGAGGGAGGGCAGAUUUCAGUUGGGUGUCAGGGGGAAGUUGUUUGCUGUGAGAGUGGUGAGGUGCUGGAACAGCUGCCCAGAGAGGCUGUGGAUGG
Molecule: long non-coding RNA, 1279 nt
Filed under: Phasianus colchicus (ring-necked pheasant)
Lineage: Eukaryota; Metazoa; Chordata; Aves; Galliformes; Phasianidae
Description: lncRNA (ENSPCLG00000014808.1)
Source: RNAcentral